GAGGAUCCCUUUUCCCCCAGAAAUUACUCAAUGCUGAAACCUCUCAAAGUGGUAUUAGAGACGCUGAAAGCACCAUGGACGGGUUUUAUGAUCAGCAAGUCCCUUUUAUGGUCCCAGGGCACAAGUUCCUGAUGAUGAACAGUUUGUCCCAGAUUUUCAGUCUGAUAACCAUUUCAGAGACAACUGUCUGAACCCUGCCACCCCUUCCCUCCUCAGCCAGGAGUUCCUGGAGAUAAUC
Molecule: long non-coding RNA, 238 nt
Filed under: Homo sapiens (human)
Lineage: Eukaryota; Metazoa; Chordata; Mammalia; Primates; Hominidae
Description: non-protein coding lnc-DGKG-1:2
Source: RNAcentral